GUGGGGAAUAUUGGGCAAUGGGGGCAACCCUGACCCAGCGACGCCGCGUGAGGGAAGAAGGCCUUAGGGUCGUAAACCUCUGUUGUGUGGGAAGAAGGAAGUGACGGUACCACACGAGGAAGUCCCGGCUAACUACGUGCCAGCAGCCGCGGUAAUACGUAGGGGACGAGCGUUGUCCGGAAUUACUGGGCGUAAAGGGCGCGUAGGCGGUCAGUUAAGUCAGCUGUGAAAUGGUCCGGCUCAACCGGAUCAUGCGGUUGAAACUGGAUGACUGGAGUGCUGGAGAGGCAAGUGGAAUUCCCAGUGUAGCGGUGAAAUGCGUAGAUAUUGGGAAGAACACCGGUGGCGAAGGCGACUUGCUGGCCAGCAACUGACGCUGAGGCGCGAAAGCCAGGGGAGCAAACGGGAUUAGAUACCCGUGUAGUCC
This 427-nucleotide ribosomal RNA is filed under the name uncultured bacterium. RNAcentral describes it as "partial 16S ribosomal RNA". It matches the Rfam family "Bacterial small subunit ribosomal RNA", at positions 354 to 796 of the family's 1533-position model. The record is from RNAcentral.